AUGAACGCUGGCGGCGUGCCUAAUACAUGCAAGUCGAGCGAACGGACGAGAAGCUUGCUUCUCUGAUGUUAGCGGCGGACGGGUGAGUAACACGUGGAUAACCUACCUAUAAGACUGGGAUAACUUCGGGAAACCGGAGCUAAUACCGGAUGAUAUUUUGAACCGCAUGGUUCAAAAGUGAAAGACGGUCUUGCUGUCACUUAUAGAUGGAUCCGCGCUGCAUUAGCUAGUUGGUAAGGUAACGGCUUACCAAGGCAACGAUGCAUAGCCGACCUGAGAGGGUGAUCGGCCACACUGGAACUGAGACACGGUCCAGACUCCUACGGGAGGCAGCAGUAGGGAAUCUUCCGCAAUGGGCGAAAGCCUGACGGAGCAACGCCGCGUGAGUGAUGAAGGUCUUCGGAUCGUAAAACUCUGUUAUUAGGGAAGAACAUAUGUGUAAGUAACUGUGCACAUCUUGACGGUACUUAAUCAGAAAGCCACGGCUAACUACGUG
RNAcentral lists this ribosomal RNA (496 nucleotides) under uncultured bacterium. RNAcentral's name for it is "partial 16S ribosomal RNA". It matches the Rfam family "Bacterial small subunit ribosomal RNA", at positions 29 to 507 of the family's 1533-position model. The record is from RNAcentral.